ACGCUCGACACCUACGGGAGCAGCAGUCGGGAAUAUUGCGCAAUGGAGGAAACUCUGACGCAGUGACGCCGCGUAUAGGAAGAAGGUUUUCGGAUUGUAAACUAUUGUCGUUAGGGAAGAAAAAGGACAGUACCUAAGGAGGAAGCUCCGGCUAACUACGUGGCAGCAGCCGCGGUAAUCUGAGCGGGCUGGCAAGGC
RNAcentral lists this ribosomal RNA (198 nucleotides) under uncultured bacterium. Its description in RNAcentral is "partial 16S ribosomal RNA". It matches the Rfam family "Bacterial small subunit ribosomal RNA", at positions 328 to 539 of the family's 1533-position model. The record is from RNAcentral.